Long non-coding RNA from Bactrocera neohumeralis, 666 nucleotides. RefSeq lists it as uncharacterized. The transcript has 3 exons. The record is from RefSeq and is a predicted model, not a curated record. Lineage: Eukaryota; Metazoa; Arthropoda; Insecta; Diptera; Tephritidae.
GAGCGACACAAGUAUUUAGCAAUUCGCCCUUAUAAGGUCUAAAAAUUAUAAAAGCGCGGAUGACCUAAGGCUGGUUAAUCCCAAUGAUAGAGUCUUCGAGAUAAGCCGCCUUCAAAUGAGCCUCUAAAAAGAUUUGUUUAAGGAAAAUUCUUGCAGAGUGGGUAUAAAAUCGAUGAUUUUAGCCCAGAUUACUACAAUUACCGAACAAAAAUACCCAGAGUGGUACAGCGAGGCUGGAGAUUGCCUCGAGCACAGGCACCAAUUUUUAGAUUUUUUAAUAACAGUUUUACUGUUUACAGCAGCAGGAAGAGUCUUACAAAAAUGAAGUUAGGGCGAGAUAUUACAAUAAAAGAGAGAAACUAAAGAAACUGGUAACAUAAGUAGAUUGUAGGCCAUAUUUAAUUUUUCUAGCAACUUCCGUGUUAUAAAAGAUUCUUCAAAAACUAAUAAUGUUCUUUUUAUUUUUUUCAGGGUAGAAUUAAGUUGUAAAUAGUUUGUAGUAGUAGUUUUAGUAUUAGUUAUUGUUAAUUAGUAUUUAUUAAUUUAGUAAGUAGUAUGAACACGUGAGCCAAGCUUUGAAAAAAGCUGGUGAAAAAGACCUAAUCUUUAUUGAUUAGGUUGUGUGAGAAUUUGUGGUUGUGGGUAGACAAAUUCUGAAAAUCGUGU